Megalobrama amblycephala (Wuchang bream) is the source of this 988-nucleotide long non-coding RNA. RefSeq lists it as uncharacterized. Lineage: Eukaryota; Metazoa; Chordata; Actinopteri; Cypriniformes; Xenocyprididae. The transcript has 2 exons. The record is from RefSeq and is a predicted model, not a curated record.
GCAGAGGUGUGGCAUUUGCUUGUAUCUCCGUUUCAUUCCAAUGAAUGUUAAUGACGUGUUUUAGCAUUAGCUUAAGCUAAUAUGACGUGGUGUACAUGUAUAUUUUUAACAAAAAGGUUCAGAGAGAAGCAGAUUGUGUGAAGAGUGACAUUUUGGAACGCGUAUGCUCUGGAAAUUUCCUGUUUCGCCGAUGUACAUGUGAUGAAUGAGUUCCUUGGCCAGGUUUUUUUUUCCUUCCUGUGAUAUCUGUUUGAGUUUUGUGGAGCCAGCCGAUGAAUGUUGCCUGAUCUGGAUGUGGGUUGAUCAGGGCGUGAAUCCUUCUCAUUCGUGAAUCGUCUCAACUCCUUCCUGCACUUUCUAUAUGCACGUUGGUGGAGUUGGACUGGCGGGCCACCUGUAGAGUGAAUCCUUAACUUCUUGUGAACUUAACCGUGUGGUUGUCGAACGGUAGGACGGAAAUUACACAACAGCUUGUUUUUUUAUUCGUCCUAAUCCUGGAUCAACUGCACAGACUGAAUUACACCACAUUUAAGGAACUUUUCUUCCGGGAACUGAAUUGAAUUCAUGGACUGAUUUUUAUUUUAUAUUUUUAUUUUUCCAUUUUGAGUUUUUUUUUUAUUCAUAGUGAAUGAACCCUGUGGUUACUGGUUAUACAGUUCAAUAACUGAAAUUUUAUGUUAAACUGAUUGGAUGUUAAUGUUCAAAGAGUGAAAACUAAAUGGGGUUAAAUUCAAGAACCAGUAAUUCAGACAGAAAGGACAGUGAAGUUCAUUUUAUUUAGUUUUAAUUUAUACACAGACAGAUUGCAUUUGGCUUGAUUGAAUUCUGGGCUAAAAAUUAAUUUCAUAAAGUGAAACAACCAUCAAAUUCCUGGAAGAGAAAGGAAAGAGUACAAAUUAGUAACGUGAAUAUUCUUACAUCACUGCAAUUAAAUGAAAUCAACUGUUUCUUAUGUUCAAUACAGUUAAAUCUUGCUCUUACCACAAAA